GGGAGUGGGAAGCCGAGCCGCCGGCGGGGGGGAGCGGGCUGUCUCCACGGCUCCAGCCCCUGUUGCUCGCAGCCAGACUUGGUGCCACGUAAUCCGAGUGACGGGCUGUGGGCUGUGGGCUGGAGCCGCACACCAGCGGAGCGGAGCGGAGCGCUUCCCGCAGCUCCUCAGAGCUCGCGCGCACUCGCAGGCAGCCGAGAGGCGGAGGAAUCAUCUAACUCCUAAUUAGUUGCUAUCUUGCUUGCCCUUCUGAUAGCGCAGCAGUGAUUUGGGAAUGCUCACUGCACAGGUUUGUAACAGAGAGUACCAAAUGCAAGAAUAGAAAGGGCUAAACUAAUCUGUGCUGCUCAAGAAAGGAAACAGAUCUGUCAUCCGCUCAGCUUCUUGGGAGUUCUUGUGAACUUUGUGUAAAGAAACAUGAG
Callorhinchus milii (elephant shark) is the source of this 422-nucleotide long non-coding RNA. RefSeq lists it as uncharacterized. NCBI's taxonomy places the organism in Eukaryota, Metazoa, Chordata, Chondrichthyes, Chimaeriformes, Callorhinchidae. The record is from RefSeq and is a predicted model, not a curated record. The transcript has 3 exons.